This 903-nucleotide small RNA is filed under the name Caenorhabditis elegans. RNAcentral describes it as "Unclassified non-coding RNA C33F10.27". The record is from RNAcentral. Lineage: Eukaryota; Metazoa; Nematoda; Chromadorea; Rhabditida; Rhabditidae.
CAAAGAAUGGAAAGAGGAUACAAUUUCUACAAUCUUCAGUUGCACGAAAAGUGUAACUGCUAUAUGCUUUGCAAUUCUUGUCGAUAGAGGUCUGCUCAAAUAUUCCGAUAAAGUCACGAAAUACUGGCCAGAAUUUGGACAGAAUGGGAAACAAGAUAUCACCAUUGAGAUGGUUCUUUCUCAUACGGUAAGAACAAAUUAUUUGAAAAUUAAAUCAAAAUUCCUGAUAAGUUUCAAGGCAGGCCUUCCAUACUUCCCAGGAGUAAAGUUCACAGAAGAAGAUCUCACUGAUAAUAACAAGCUUUCUCAUAUGAUUGAGAACUUAAAGCCCGUUUUUGCACCGGGUACACGAACUGCAUAUCACGCACUUACAUUUGGAUGGCUCACUGAUCAGGUAACUUAGGAAAAUAUGAAUUGAAAAUUAAAAAAAAGUUUUUUAGAUUUUCCGGAGAGUCGAUUCACAGAAAAGAACUGUGGGACAAUUUUUCAAGGAUGAAAUAGCCACAAAACAUUGUAAGCUAUUUCUCAGUUUUUCUGCUUUAGGGCUUUCUUUAUAUCAAAUCAAUAAAUUUACAGAUAUCGAUAUUCAUAUCGGAGAGUGUUCAAAUGAAGAGAAUCGUCUUGCUAGACUAUUCAAGUGCCCUGCAACUCUUGUUAGCCGAGAAAUCGCCUAUGAUCGUUCGAUCUUGAAACUAGCUCGAUACUACUACAAUCCACGUGGCCUGUUCGCAGCAGCCAGACGGAAUCUGAGUCUUCAUGGAUCUGACUUCACAAUGUUUAAUAAUAGUGAUUUGAGAGUAGUUGGGCAGCCUGCAGUCAAUGGAAUUGGGUCAGCGAGAGCAAUGGCACAGUUACACCAGCUAGUUCUUGAUGGGACACUUCUUUCGAAGGAGACUUUUGAUG